CCUACGGGAGGCAGCAGUGGGGAAUAUUGCACAAUGGGGGAAACCCUGAUGCAGCGACGCCGCGUGAGUGAAGACGGAAUUCGUGAUGGAAAGCUCUAUCAGCAGGGGAGAAAAUGACGGUACCUGAGUAAUAAGCCCCGGCUUACUUCGUGACAGCAGCCGCGGUCACACGUAGGGGGCCAGCGUUAUCCGGAUUUACUGGGUGUAAAGGGAGCGUAGACGGCAGUGUAAGUCUGGAGUGAAAGGCUGGGGCUCAACCCGCAGACUGCUAUGGAAACUGUACGGCUGGAGUACAGGUGAGGUAAGUGGAAUUCGUAGUGUAGCGGUGAAAUGCGUAGAUAUCACACAGAACACCGAUUGCGAAGGCAGCUCACGAAUCCGCCAUUGACGCUGAUGCACGAAAGUGUGGGUAUCAAACAGGAUUAGAUACCCGGGUAGUC
RNAcentral lists this ribosomal RNA (440 nucleotides) under uncultured bacterium. RNAcentral's name for it is "partial 16S ribosomal RNA". It matches the Rfam family "Bacterial small subunit ribosomal RNA", at positions 338 to 795 of the family's 1533-position model. The record is from RNAcentral.